Molecule: long non-coding RNA, 807 nt
Organism: Mytilus trossulus (common blue mussel)
Lineage: Eukaryota; Metazoa; Mollusca; Bivalvia; Mytilida; Mytilidae
Exons: 4
Source: RefSeq, a predicted model, not a curated record
UGAUUAGGAACUCCAUCUGUAUGUUACAGUAAAACAUAUAUAUUUGGUUGAUUACCACAAGAUUUUUUUACCGUUGAAUGACAGAACAAUAGUGUGCUGUGUGUAACGUUUUAAGACAUGCCUGAGUUAUUACGGAUGUUUCAGAAUAUACACGUGUAAGUAUAUUGUUGACAAUUCUACAGGUAGAUAUAGAUGCUUGACGCAAUUCAGAUAAAAGUAUAAAAUUCAUUUUGGACCACGUCAACAACAAGAUAAAACUAGACGACGCACCUGUUGUUUGUUUAUUAUAGUUGAUUCCUGUUAGUAAAUAUUUAAUGGAAUAAAGGCAUUUUAUCAAUCAAUUUGAAUCAAUCGUUGCAUAUGGAGAGGAUAAUUGUGUGGUUAUAUAGAUUCUGGAUAAGAAUUUGACAUGAUUAUUACGUAAAAUGGAUUAUGUUAAAUCAGCGCUACAGAUAAUUCUGCUUGGAUUUUUCUUCUUCGUCUUAGCGUGGAUUUGUGUAUACGCAGACAAGUUAUUAUUGGUAUUUCAGAGUUUAUAGUAUAGCCAUUUGGUGGACCAAGACUGUUCUAAAACAAUUUUCUUUAGCAAUGUAAAUAUUACAAUGCACAAAUCAAUAUGCAUAUGGAUAUAUCACUGAAUUGAUCCCGUCCACCAUUUUAGAAUCUUUCUAUCUUUUGGAUACGUAUGCAUAGACAGAUUGAACCUUAACAUUCAAUUUGACUUAUUUUAUUUAUAAAAAUAUCAUAUUUUUAUUUUGAUAUGUAUGAAAUGAAUGCUAACAUGGUUUAUUAAAUGUUUAUGUUUUU